Molecule: long non-coding RNA, 814 nt
Filed under: Bos indicus x Bos taurus (hybrid cattle)
Lineage: Eukaryota; Metazoa; Chordata; Mammalia; Artiodactyla; Bovidae
Description: lncRNA (ENSBIXG00000003586.1)
Source: RNAcentral
AUUUUUUUUUGCAACUAGAGGGGGAAGCACAGAGCUAAAAAUAAAACGAAAAGAUCAGUAUCUGUCAGUCUGACAGCUGAUUGGCUGCUCGGAGAUGCAUAUAAUUACCAGCAACUGGCGCUGGGUAGGCAAAGCCGGGAGAAACUGCUGAGACGAGAUGGAUGCCAGCGAGAAAGACUGAAGCCCCGGUGCCUUGGAAUGCACGUGUGGUCCUUUCCACACUGUCCUCUUGGCCCCUCGGGGGCAGCCCUCCUCAUUGUGGGAAGGGCUGAAGGCGGUGGAAAUCAUCUGGAGACUAUCUUGCAGGCCGACUACCAUGUGAUGGCUACAAGGACACAAGUAGCUUUGCCUCCUGGAGACACAGAGAAAAAUUCCAUGACCCGUGUGAACCCAUGUCGGGGAAGACUGAAGUGGGGUGUAAACUCAGGAUGGAUAAAUGCCAAAGAUACAGUAAAUAGGUGAGAUGAAAUAUUUAUUUUGUAUGCAUUAGCAAUAUGAGGGGGGCUUCCCUGGUGGUCCAGUGGUUAAGAAUUGACCCUCCACUGCAGGGGGCACGAAUUGGAUCCCUGGUCUGGGAAGAUCUCACAUGCCGCAGAGCAACUAAGCCCCAUGCACCGCAACUACUGAGCCCACGUGCUGCAACUGAGGUAUGAAGCCCGCACCCCUUAGAGGCUGUGCUCUGCAACAAGAGAGGCCACCGCAGGGAGAAGCCCACACCACGGCAGAGCAGCGCAUUGUUGCCGCAGUGAAGAUCACGCAGCAAUGAAGACCAGCGCAGCCAUAAAUAAAAUAACAGGUAAAAUUCUAAAAUACA